RNAcentral lists this ribosomal RNA (1557 nucleotides) under Escherichia coli. RNAcentral's name for it is "bacterial LSU rRNA". It matches the Rfam family "Bacterial large subunit ribosomal RNA", at positions 1270 to 2812 of the family's 2925-position model. Lineage: Bacteria; Pseudomonadati; Pseudomonadota; Gammaproteobacteria; Enterobacterales; Enterobacteriaceae. The record is from RNAcentral.
AUGCUGGAGGUAUCAGAAGUGCGAAUGCUGACAUAAGUAACGAUAAAGCGGGUGAAAAGCCCGCUCGCCGGAAGACCAAGGGUUCCUGUCCAACGUUAAUCGGGGCAGGGUGAGUCGACCCCUAAGGCGAGGCCGAAAGGCGUAGUCGAUGGGAAACAGGUUAAUAUUCCUGUACUUGGUGUUACUGCGAAGGGGGGACGGAGAAGGCUAUGUUGGCCGGGCGACGGUUGUCCCGGUUUAAGCGUGUAGGCUGGUUUUCCAGGCAAAUCCGGAAAAUCAAGGCUGAGGCGUGAUGACGAGGCACUACGGUGCUGAAGCAACAAAUGCCCUGCUUCCAGGAAAAGCCUCUAAGCAUCAGGUAACAUCAAAUCGUACCCCAAACCGACACAGGUGGUCAGGUAGAGAAUACCAAGGCGCUUGAGAGAACUCGGGUGAAGGAACUAGGCAAAAUGGUGCCGUAACUUCGGGAGAAGGCACGCUGAUAUGUAGGUGAAGUCCCUCGCGGAUGGAGCUGAAAUCAGUCGAAGAUACCAGCUGGCUGCAACUGUUUAUUAAAAACACAGCACUGUGCAAACACGAAAGUGGACGUAUACGGUGUGACGCCUGCCCGGUGCCGGAAGGUUAAUUGAUGGGGUCAGCGCAAGCGAAGCUCUUGAUCGAAGCCCCGGUAAACGGCGGCCGUAACUAUAACGGUCCUAAGGUAGCGAAAUUCCUUGUCGGGUAAGUUCCGACCUGCACGAAUGGCGUAAUGAUGGCCAGGCUGUCUCCACCCGAGACUCAGUGAAAUUGAACUCGCUGUGAAGAUGCAGUGUACCCGCGGCAAGACGGAAAGACCCCGUGAACCUUUACUAUAGCUUGACACUGAACAUUGAGCCUUGAUGUGUAGGAUAGGUGGGAGGCUUAGAAGUGUGGACGCCAGUCUGCAUGGAGCCGACCUUGAAAUACCACCCUUUAAUGUUUGAUGUUCUAACGUUGACCCGUAAUCCGGGUUGCGGACAGUGUCUGGUGGGUAGUUUGACUGGGGCGGUCUCCUCCUAAAGAGUAACGGAGGAGCACGAAGGUUGGCUAAUCCUGGUCGGACAUCAGGAGGUUAGUGCAAUGGCAUAAGCCAGCUUGACUGCGAGCGUGACGGCGCGAGCAGGUGCGAAAGCAGGUCAUAGUGAUCCGGUGGUUCUGAAUGGAAGGGCCAUCGCUCAACGGAUAAAAGGUACUCCGGGGAUAACAGGCUGAUACCGCCCAAGAGUUCAUAUCGACGGCGGUGUUUGGCACCUCGAUGUCGGCUCAUCACAUCCUGGGGCUGAAGUAGGUCCCAAGGGUAUGGCUGUUCGCCAUUUAAAGUGGUACGCGAGCUGGGUUUAGAACGUCGUGAGACAGUUCGGUCCCUAUCUGCCGUGGGCGCUGGAGAACUGAGGGGGGCUGCUCCUAGUACGAGAGGACCGGAGUGGACGCAUCACUGGUGUUCGGGUUGUCAUGCCAAUGGCACUGCCCGGUAGCUAAAUGCGGAAGAGAUAAGUGCUGAAAGCAUCUAAGCACGAAACUUGCCCCGAGAUGAGUUCU